GACGAACGCUGGCGGCGUGCCUAAUACAUGCAAGUUGAGCGCUGAAGGUUGGUACUUGUACCAACUGGAUGAGCAGCGAACGGGUGAGUAACGCGUGGGGAAUCUGCCUUUGAGCGGGGGACAACAUUUGGAAACGAAUGCUAAUACCGCAUAAAAACUUUAAACACAAGUUUUAAGUUUGAAAGAUGCAAUUGCAUCACUCAAAGAUGAUCCCGCGUUGUAUUAGCUAGUUGGUGAGGUAAAGGCUCACCAAGGCGAUGAUACAUAGCCGACCUGAGAGGGUGAUCGGCCACAUUGGGACUGAGACACGGCCCAAACUCCUACGGGAGGCAGCAGUAGGGAAUCUUCGGCAAUGGACGAAAGUCUGACCGAGCAACGCCGCGUGAGUGAAGAGGGUUGUCGGAUCGUAAAACUCUGUUGGUAGAGAAGAACGUUGGUGAGAGUGGAAAGCCCAUCAAGUGACGGUAACUACCCAGAAAGGGACGGCUAACUACGUG
RNAcentral lists this ribosomal RNA (497 nucleotides) under uncultured bacterium. RNAcentral's name for it is "partial 16S ribosomal RNA". It matches the Rfam family "Bacterial small subunit ribosomal RNA", at positions 28 to 507 of the family's 1533-position model. The record is from RNAcentral.